Small nucleolar RNA from Spea bombifrons (plains spadefoot toad), 130 nucleotides. Lineage: Eukaryota; Metazoa; Chordata; Amphibia; Anura; Pelobatidae. The record is from RefSeq and is a predicted model, not a curated record.
UUGCACUGACAAGUGUUCCCUGUGUCUAUUCCGUGGCUAAGGGUUUGUUUAACGGUGCUAGACCAAAUCCCUUCUUGGAGAAAGGCCAGGCUUUCUUGUAACCUGCCCCUUCAGAUAGUUGGGUACAAGC